Molecule: ribosomal RNA, 502 nt
Filed under: uncultured bacterium
Lineage: Bacteria
Description: partial 16S ribosomal RNA
Rfam family: Bacterial small subunit ribosomal RNA
Source: RNAcentral
AUUGAACGCUGGCGGCAUGCCUUACACAUGCAAGUCGAACGGCAGCACGGGUGCUUGCACCUGGUGGCGAGUGGCGAACGGGUGAGUAAUACAUCGGAACGUACCUUAUCGUGGGGGAUAACGCAGCGAAAGCUGUGCUAAUACCGCAUACGCCCUGAGGGGGAAAGCGGGGGAUCGCAAGACCUCGCGCGAUUAGAGCGGCCGAUGCCUGAUUAGCUAGUUGGUGGGGUAAAAGCCCACCAAGGCGACGAUCAGUAGCUGGUCUGAGAGGACGAUCAGCCACACUGGGACUGAGACACGGCCCAGACUCCUACGGGAGGCAGCAGUGGGGAAUUUUGGACAAUGGGGGCAACCCUGAUCCAGCAAUGCCGCGUGAGUGAAGAAGGCCUUCGGGUUGUAAACUGCUUUUGUACGGAGCGAAAAGGUCCUUUCUAAUACAAGGGGCUCAUGACGGUACCGUAAGAAUAAGCACCGGCUAACUACGUGCCAGCCGCCGCGGUAA